RNAcentral lists this ribosomal RNA (427 nucleotides) under uncultured prokaryote. RNAcentral describes it as "bacterial SSU rRNA". It matches the Rfam family "Bacterial small subunit ribosomal RNA", at positions 355 to 796 of the family's 1533-position model. The record is from RNAcentral.
UUAGGAAUCUUCCGCAAUGGGCGAAAGCCUGACGGAGCAAGACCGCGUGAGGGAGGAAGGCCUUUGGGUUGUAAACCUCUUUUCUCAGGGAAGAAGAAAGUGACGGUACCUGAGGAAUCAGCCUCGGCUAACUCCGUGCCAGCAGCCGCGGUAAUACGGAGGAGGCAAGCGUUAUCCGGAAUUAUUGGGCGUAAAGCGUCCGCAGGUGGUGAUUCAAGUCCGCUGUCAAAGACCGGGGCUCAACCCUGGGUCGGCAGUAGAAACUGAAGCACUAGAGUUCGGUAGGGGUAGAGGGAAUUCCCAGUGUAGCGGUGAAAUGCGUAGAGAUUGGGAAGAACACCAGUGGCGAAAGCGCUCUACUGGGCCGAGACUGACACUCAGGGACGAAAGCUAGGGGAGCGAAAGGGAUUAGAUACCCGCGUAGUCC